RNAcentral lists this ribosomal RNA (505 nucleotides) under uncultured bacterium. Its description in RNAcentral is "bacterial SSU rRNA". It matches the Rfam family "Bacterial small subunit ribosomal RNA", at positions 501 to 1008 of the family's 1533-position model. The record is from RNAcentral.
CUACGUGCCAGCAGCCGCGGUAAUACGGAAGGUCCGGGCGUUAUCCGGAUUUAUUGGGUUUAAAGGGAGCGUAGGCCGGAGAUUAAGUGUGUUGUGAAAUGUAGACGCUCAACGUCUGAAUUGCAGCGCAUACUGGUUUCCUUGAGUACGCACAACGUUGGCGGAAUUCGUCGUGUAGCGGUGAAAUGCUUAGAUAUGACGAAGAACUCCGAUUGCGAAGGCAGCUGACGGGAGCGCAACUGACGCUUAAGCUCGAAGGUGCGGGUAUCAAACAGGAUUAGAUACCCUGGUAGUCCGCACAGUAAACGAUGGAUGCCCGCUGUUGGUACCUGGUAUCAGCGGCUAAGCGAAAGCAUUAAGCAUCCCACCUGGGGAGUACGCCGGCAACGGUGAAACUCAAAGGAAUUGACGGGGGCCCGCACAAGCGGAGGAACAUGUGGUUUAAUUCGAUGAUACGCGAGGAACCUUACCCGGGCUUGAAUUGCAGAGGAAGGAUUUAGAGAUA